GACGAACCGUGCGAGCGUUAUUCGGAAUCACUGGGCUUAAAGGGCGCGUAGGCGGGCCAGCAAGUCAGGGGUGAAAGCCCACGGCUCAACCGUGGAAGUGCCUCUGAUACUGCGGGCCUCGAGGGAGGUAGGGGCGUGCGGAACUUCCGGUGGAGCGGUGAAAUGCGUAGAUAUCGGAAGGAACACCGGUGGCGAAAGCGGCGCGCUGGACCUCUUCUGACGCUGAGGCGCGAAAGCCAGGGGAGCAAACGGG
RNAcentral lists this ribosomal RNA (253 nucleotides) under uncultured bacterium. RNAcentral describes it as "partial 16S ribosomal RNA". It matches the Rfam family "Bacterial small subunit ribosomal RNA", at positions 524 to 776 of the family's 1533-position model. The record is from RNAcentral.